GUGUUUUUGCCGGAAACACAUAUACUAAAAUUGGAAUGAUAUGGAGAAAGAUUAGCAUGGCCCCUCUACAAGGCAUGUGAAUUAAUGAAACAGUCUUUGUAUUU
Molecule: small nuclear RNA, 104 nt
Organism: Manis javanica (Malayan pangolin)
Lineage: Eukaryota; Metazoa; Chordata; Mammalia; Pholidota; Manidae
Source: RefSeq, a predicted model, not a curated record